CCUUCUUUAAUAAUAAAAUUAGCAUUACAGAGGCUGGACAAUUGCAUUAGAACAUCAGACAUGAACCCACUAUCCCCACUUUCAAAUCUUAGGACAUCAUUUUCAUUUUCUUCAUCAAGUGGACCUUCCACUACAGAUGAUAUACAUUGAAAAAUAGCUAAUAACCUCUCCAAUGGGAAAGUUCCAGGUCCUUUCAUAAGUAAUUCCUG
Molecule: unclassified non-coding RNA, 209 nt
Filed under: Hevea brasiliensis (rubber tree)
Lineage: Eukaryota; Viridiplantae; Streptophyta; Magnoliopsida; Malpighiales; Euphorbiaceae
Source: RNAcentral